UGUUAAAAAUUUCAUCUAUUUCUACAAUAAAAAAUUAACAUGGGCGACAAAAUAGCCAAACUAUUACACGAGGUGUACCACGUGUACCUUAUGUUGACAUAUAAAGAUCAAUUUUAAAUAGUAAAAAUGGAUGAAAUUUUUAAAA
Molecule: microRNA precursor, 145 nt
Filed under: Gossypium arboreum
Lineage: Eukaryota; Viridiplantae; Streptophyta; Magnoliopsida; Malvales; Malvaceae
Description: MIR7502 microRNA precursor family
Rfam family: MIR7502 microRNA precursor family
Source: Rfam by way of RNAcentral